GGUUAAGCGACUAAGCGUACACGGUGGAUGCCCUGGCAGUCAGAGGCGAUGAAGGACGUGCUAAUCUGCGAUAAGCGCCGGUAAGGUGAUAUGAACCGUUAUAACCGGCGAUACCCGAAUGGGGAAACCCAGUGUGACUCGUCACACUAUCAUUAACUGAAUCCAUAGGUUAAUGAGGC
RNAcentral lists this ribosomal RNA (179 nucleotides) under Salmonella enterica subsp. enterica serovar Heidelberg str. RI-11-013988. RNAcentral's name for it is "partial 23S ribosomal RNA". It matches the Rfam family "Bacterial large subunit ribosomal RNA", at positions 1 to 180 of the family's 2925-position model. The record is from RNAcentral. Lineage: Bacteria; Pseudomonadati; Pseudomonadota; Gammaproteobacteria; Enterobacterales; Enterobacteriaceae.